UGGGGAAUAUUGCACAAUGGGCGAAAGCCUGAUGCAGCAACGCCGCGUGCGGGAUGACGGCCUUCGGGUUGUAAACCGCUUUCAGCAGGGACGAAGGUUUUCUGACGGUACCUGCAGAAGAAGCACCGGCUAACUACGUGCCAGCAGCCGCGGUGAUACGUAGGGUGCGAGCGUUGUCCGGAAUUAUUGGGCGUAAAGAGCUUGUAGGCGGUCCGUUGCGUCGGAAGUGAAAAACUCAGGGCUUAACCCUGAGCCUGCUUUCGAUACGGGCGGACUUGAGGGAUGUAGGGGAGAACGGAAUUCCUGGUGGAGCGGUGGAAUGCGCAGAUAUCAGGAGGAACACCAGUGGCGAAGGCGGUUCUCUGGACAUUUCCUGACGCUGAGAAGCGAAAGCGUGGGGAGCAAAACAGGCUUAGAUACCCGUGGUAGUCCACGCCGUAAACGGUGGCACUAGGUGUGGGACCCAUUCCACGGGUUCCGUGCCGUAGCUAACGCAUU
This 498-nucleotide ribosomal RNA is filed under the name uncultured bacterium. RNAcentral's name for it is "partial 16S ribosomal RNA". It matches the Rfam family "Bacterial small subunit ribosomal RNA", at positions 355 to 861 of the family's 1533-position model. The record is from RNAcentral.